UACGUAGGGUGCGAGCGUUGUCCGGAAUUAUUGGGCGUAAAGAGCUUGUAGGCGGUUUGUCGCGUCUGCCGUGAAAGCCCAGGGCUUAACCCUGGGUCUGCGGUGGGUACGGGCAGACUAGAGUGUGGUAGGGGAGACUGGAAUUCCUGGUGUAGCGGUGAAAUGCGCAGAUAUCAGGAGGAACACCGGUGGCGAAGGCGGGUCUCUGGGCCGAUACUGACGCUGAGGAGCGAAAGCGUGGGGAGCAAACAGG
This 253-nucleotide ribosomal RNA is filed under the name uncultured bacterium. Its description in RNAcentral is "partial 16S ribosomal RNA". It matches the Rfam family "Bacterial small subunit ribosomal RNA", at positions 524 to 776 of the family's 1533-position model. The record is from RNAcentral.